Molecule: non-coding RNA, 27 nt
Filed under: Mus musculus (house mouse)
Lineage: Eukaryota; Metazoa; Chordata; Mammalia; Rodentia; Muridae
Source: RNAcentral
UGUGAAUCGUAAGCCUCUGCCUGGCAC